UACAGAGGGGGCAAGCGUUAUUCGGAAUUAUUGGGCGUAAAGGGCGCGUAGGCGGCUUGGCAAGUGGAAGGUGAAAUCCCUCGGCUUAACCGAGGAACUGCCCUCCAAACUGCUUCGCUUGAGACCGGGAGAGGUGAGUGGAAUUCCCAGUGUAGCGGUGAGAUGCGUAGAUAUUGGGAGGAACACCAGUGGCGAAGGCGGCUCACUGGACCGGUACUGACGCUGAUGCGCGAAAGCGUGGGGAGCAAACGGG
Molecule: ribosomal RNA, 253 nt
Filed under: uncultured bacterium
Lineage: Bacteria
Description: partial 16S ribosomal RNA
Rfam family: Bacterial small subunit ribosomal RNA
Source: RNAcentral